This 468-nucleotide ribosomal RNA is filed under the name uncultured bacterium. RNAcentral's name for it is "partial 16S ribosomal RNA". It matches the Rfam family "Bacterial small subunit ribosomal RNA", at positions 28 to 507 of the family's 1533-position model. The record is from RNAcentral.
GACGAACGUUGGCGGCGUGCUUAACACAUGCAAGUCGAACGGAAAGGCCCUGCUUUUGUGGGGUGCUCGAGUGGCGAACGGGUGAGUAACACGUGAGUAACCUGCCCUUGACUUUGGGAUAACUUCAGGAAACUGGGGCUAAUACCGGAUAGGAGCUCCUGCUGCAUGGUGGGGGUUGGAAAGUUUCGGCGGUUGGGGAUGGACUCGCGGCUUACCAGCUUGUUGGUGGGGUAGUGGCUUACCAAGGCUUUGACGGGUAGCCGGCCUGAGAGGGUGACCGGCCACAUUGGGACUGAGAUACGGCCCAGACUCCUACGGGAGGCAGCAGUGGGGAAUAUUGCACAAUGGGUGGAAGCCUGAUGCAGCAACGCCGCGUGCGGGAUGACGGCCUUCGGGUUGUAAACCGCUUUCGCCUGUGACGAAGCGUGAGUGACGGUAAUGGGUAAAGAAGCACCGGCUAACUACGUG